This 74-nucleotide transfer RNA is filed under the name Candidatus Fibrimonadaceae bacterium. RNAcentral describes it as "tRNA-Pro". It matches the Rfam family "tRNA". Rfam says of the family: Transfer RNA (tRNA) molecules are approximately 80 nucleotides in length. Their secondary structure includes four short double-helical elements and three loops (D, anti-codon, and T loops). Lineage: Bacteria; Pseudomonadati; Fibrobacterota; Fibrobacteria; Candidatus Fibrimonadales; Candidatus Fibrimonadaceae. The record is from RNAcentral.
CGGAGUGUAGCUCAGCCUGGUAGAGCGUCAGUUUUGGGAACUGAAAGUCGUCGGUUCGAAUCCGGCUACUCCGA